AGGCUGGGGUCUCAGAAGGCAGCGCUCUCAGGGCACCUCCACCAUGGCCUGGGCUCUGCUCCUCCUCAGCCUCCUCUCUCAGGGCACAGGGUCCUUGGCCCAGGCUCCCCUCACUCAGCCGCCCUCAGUGACUGGGACUCCAGGGACGACGGUCACCAUCUCCUGUGCUGGGAGCAGCAAUGAUGUCGGUGGUUAUAACCUUGUCUCCUGGUUCCAACAGCGCCCGGGCACGGCCCCUAAACUCCUGAUUUAUAGUGUCAGCAGUCGGCCCUCGGGGAUCCCUGAGCGCUUCUCUGGCUCCAAGUCUGGCAACACGGCCACCCUGACCAUCGCGGGGCUGCAGGCCGAGGACGAGGCCGAUUAUCACUGUUGCUCAUAUCGAUAUACAGACAGCAGCACUCUCCACAGUGGUGCGGGUUCAUGGGGAAGUGACACCAAAACCCACCCUGGGCUCCCAGGCGCCCUCCUUGCUCUGAAGACGCUUCCCCUCCCUUCAUACACAAGGGCCCAGAGAAUCAUAUUCUAAUCGCCUCCCUCCUCUGUCACCAUAAGAU
This is a non-coding RNA of Myotis davidii, 554 nucleotides long. NCBI's taxonomy places the organism in Eukaryota, Metazoa, Chordata, Mammalia, Chiroptera, Vespertilionidae. The record is from the annotation of a RefSeq genome assembly.